AUUGGACCUGAUAUCAGGCAAGAUUGCCCGCUGAAAUCACACC
RNAcentral lists this ribosomal RNA (43 nucleotides) under Phytophthora drechsleri. RNAcentral's name for it is "partial 28S ribosomal RNA". Lineage: Eukaryota; Oomycota; Peronosporomycetes; Peronosporales; Peronosporaceae. The record is from RNAcentral.